Molecule: ribosomal RNA, 284 nt
Filed under: Bacillus subtilis
Lineage: Bacteria; Bacillati; Bacillota; Bacilli; Caryophanales; Bacillaceae
Description: partial 16S ribosomal RNA
Rfam family: Bacterial small subunit ribosomal RNA
Source: RNAcentral
UUUCGGAUCGUAAAGCUCUGUUGUUAGGGAAGAACAAGUACCGUUCGAAUAGGGCGGUACCUUGACGGUACCUAACCAGAAAGCCACGGCUAACUACGUGCCAGCAGCCGCGGUAAUACGUAGGUGGCAAGCGUUGUCCGGAAUUAUUGGGCGUAAAGGGCUCGCAGGCGGUUUCUUAAGUCUGAUGUGAAAGCCCCCGGCUCAACCGGGGAGGGUCAUUGGAAACUGGGGAACUUGAGUGCAGAAGAGGAGAGUGGAAUUCCACGUGUAGCGGUGAAAUGCGU